AGCGAACGCUGGCGGCAGGCCUAACACAUGCAAGUCGAACGGACUCUUCGGAGUUAGUGGCGGACGGGUGAGUAACACGUGGGAACGUGCCUUUGGGUUCGGAAUAGCUCCUGGAAACGGGUGGUAAUGCCGAAUGUGCCCUUCGGGGGAAAGGAUUUAUCGCCUUUAGAGCGGCCCGCGUCUGAUUAGCUAGUUGGUGG
This 200-nucleotide ribosomal RNA is filed under the name uncultured bacterium. RNAcentral's name for it is "partial 16S ribosomal RNA". It matches the Rfam family "Bacterial small subunit ribosomal RNA", at positions 29 to 255 of the family's 1533-position model. The record is from RNAcentral.